This 74-nucleotide transfer RNA is filed under the name Rhizobium sp. Root149. It matches the Rfam family "tRNA". From Rfam's summary of the family: Transfer RNA (tRNA) molecules are approximately 80 nucleotides in length. Their secondary structure includes four short double-helical elements and three loops (D, anti-codon, and T loops). Lineage: Bacteria; Pseudomonadati; Pseudomonadota; Alphaproteobacteria; Hyphomicrobiales; Rhizobiaceae. The record is from Rfam by way of RNAcentral.
CGGGGCGUAGCGCAGCCCGGUAGCGCACUUGACUGGGGGUCAAGGGGUCGCUGGUUCGAAUCCAGUCGUCCCGA